AGUGAACGCUGGCGGUAGGCCUAACACAUGCCAGUCGAACGGCAGCACAGUAAGAGCUUGCUCUUACGGGUGGCGAGUGGCGGACGGGUGAGGAAUACAUCGGAAUCUACUUUUUCGUGGGGGAUAACGUAGGGAAACUUACGCUAAUACCGCAUACGACCUACGGGUGAAAGCAGGGGAUCUUCGGACCUUGCGCGAUUGAAUGAGCCGAUGUCGGAUUAGCUAGUUGGCGGGGUAAAGGCCCACCAAGGCGACGAUCCGUAGCUGGUCUGAGAGGAUGAUCAGCCACACUGGAACUGAGACACGGUCCAGACUCCUACGGGAGGCAGCAGUGGGGAAUAUUGGACAAUGGGCGCAAGCCUGAUCCAGCCAUACCGCGUGGGUGAAGAAGGCCUUCGGAUUGUAAAGCCCUUUUGUUGGGAAAGAAAAGCAGCAGGUUAAUACCCCGCUGUUCUGACGGUACCCAAAGAAUAAGCACCGGCUAACUUCGUG
This 492-nucleotide ribosomal RNA is filed under the name uncultured bacterium. RNAcentral describes it as "partial 16S ribosomal RNA". It matches the Rfam family "Bacterial small subunit ribosomal RNA", at positions 29 to 507 of the family's 1533-position model. The record is from RNAcentral.